Molecule: ribosomal RNA, 255 nt
Filed under: Salmonella enterica subsp. enterica serovar Thompson
Lineage: Bacteria; Pseudomonadati; Pseudomonadota; Gammaproteobacteria; Enterobacterales; Enterobacteriaceae
Also listed under: 2 other names
Description: partial 23S ribosomal RNA
Rfam family: Bacterial large subunit ribosomal RNA
Source: RNAcentral
UAAAGCGGGUGAAAAGCCCGCUCGCCGGAAGACCAAGGGUUCCUGUCCAACGUUAAUCGGGGCAGGGUGAGUCGACCCCUAAGGCGAGGCCGAAAGGCGUAGUCGAUGGGAAACAGGUUAAUAUUCCUGUACUUGGUGUUACUGCGAAGGGGGGACGGAGAAGGCUAUGUUGGCCGGGCGACGGUUGUCCCGGUUUAAGCGUGUAGGUGUGUGUUCCAGGUAAAUCCGGUUCACUUUAACACUGAGGCGUGAUGA